GAUAAUGAGGGAAAUAAGGGGAAGGGUCAAGUAAAGGAACAUGUAUAAAGGAAGCAUGGACAAAGACAACCAGGGUGGGGGUCCAUAGGGCAGGGGAGAGAAAUGGGGGGAAAUGAGGACAACUGUAACUGAACAACAAUUAAGAACAACAACAACAAAAAAGAUUUGAGCCAGGCUGACUGAGCUGUUCCUGUUACUGGACCCUUUCUCCAUAGACCAGUCUUCCCACUCAACUUUUUCAGAAAACCUGUCCAGGGAGCUGAUUCACACCAGUGGAACUGUGCCUGAUUAAAUCUUAGGCAGAAAGCACAGCUCUGUCUACCUCUGACUUCUUCAAAGAACCAAUCCUCCUGCGAAAGAGCCCUGCUGUUACCUGGAUACAAAGCUCUCCAGGCCAUGGACAGUGUGAGAUGUAAGCAGAUGAGGGCCAAAACCGCACAGUCAUUUUUAAGAGGCAGUUUUGUCUUUCAGGAUAACAACCUGACUGAAAUUAUUAACACGGAAAUUCAAAAAAUAUAUCUGUGGGAAAUUAGUACCCCCCAAAACGAAAAACAAAAUACAGACAUGCAAGGAUUCCAGAUUAUGAUGUCCUUGGUUUGGGGAAAUUGCCGCAGGGCUUUGAAGGGAUAUGUUUUAGAUGGUGCAAGCUCUUCAUGAAUGAGCUCCUGGAAUAAAAAUCCAGCUACCCUAGAAUGGAUGACUAAAUGGAUGGAUAUGUUUGUUCUUCCCAAAGAUCUGUUCACCAGGGAAACCACAGCUGCCCCCAUCAAUCAAGACACAGGCAUUUAUAAAACACCCCACAAUGUGCUGAAUAUUGCAAGAGACACUUGAAGCAUGUCCCCUCCCCCUAAGAGGAUAAUUUCCACUCCUCUCUAAGGGACAGGAAGCCUUCAGUGUCUGGUUUGAGCUUUUGAUCACUUAGACCCACUGACCUCUGGCUCUGCCCUGGUUUUCAAAAGGAGUUGUUGGCCCAGUGGAUUUUGAUAUUCCAAAUUCUCUAAA
This is a long non-coding RNA of Phyllostomus discolor (pale spear-nosed bat), 1002 nucleotides long. RefSeq lists it as uncharacterized. The transcript is spliced from 2 exons. The record is from RefSeq and is a predicted model, not a curated record. Lineage: Eukaryota; Metazoa; Chordata; Mammalia; Chiroptera; Phyllostomidae.